GGAUGAGAUGCUCAAAGGCUGAGCGGCGGCUUGUUAAGCCGAAGGUUGAAAGUUCGAAUCUUUCCUCAUCCG
RNAcentral lists this transfer RNA (72 nucleotides) under Chitinophagaceae bacterium. Its description in RNAcentral is "tRNA-Asn". It matches the Rfam family "tRNA". Rfam says of the family: Transfer RNA (tRNA) molecules are approximately 80 nucleotides in length. Their secondary structure includes four short double-helical elements and three loops (D, anti-codon, and T loops). Lineage: Bacteria; Pseudomonadati; Bacteroidota; Chitinophagia; Chitinophagales; Chitinophagaceae. The record is from RNAcentral.